RNAcentral lists this ribosomal RNA (329 nucleotides) under uncultured eukaryote. Its description in RNAcentral is "partial 18S ribosomal RNA". It matches the Rfam family "Eukaryotic small subunit ribosomal RNA", at positions 1470 to 1796 of the family's 1831-position model. The record is from RNAcentral.
CCCUUAGAUGUCCUGGGCCGCACGCGCGCUACACUGAGUGUCUGAGAUACGAGUCUGCCUGGUCCGGCAAGGUCUAGGUAAUCGCUAAAAGACACAUCAUGCUUGGGAUAGAUUAUUGCAAAUAUUAAUCUUGAACGAGGAAUUCCUAGUAAGCGCAAGUCAACAGCUUGCGUUGAUUACGUCCCUGCCCUUUGUACACACCACCCGUCGCUACUACUGAUUGGAUGUUUAAGCGAGGUUCUCGAACUGCUAGCGACUUAGCUUCGGUGAGGUCGCAGUGUGGGAAGUGAACCUAGCUUCGGUGUCUAGAGGAAGUAAAAGUCGUAACA